UGAACGCUAGCUACAGGCUUAACACAUGCAAGUCGAGGGGCAGCAUGGUCUUAGCUUGCUAAGGCCGAUGGCGACCGGCGCACGGGUGAGUAACACGUAUCCAACCUGCCGUCUACUCUUGGACAGCCUUCUGAAAGGAAGAUUAAUACAAGAUGGCAUCAUGAGUCCCCAUGUUCACAUGAUUAAAGGUAUUCCGGUAGACGAUGGGGAUGCGUUCCAUUAGAUAGUAGGCGGGGUAACGGCCCACCUAGUCUUCGAUGGAUAGGGGUUCUGAGAGGAAGGUCCCCCACAUUGGAACUGAGACACGGUCCAGACUCCUACGGGAGGCAGCAGUGAGGAAUAUUGGUCAAUGGGCGCGAGCCUGAACCAGCCAAGUCGCGUGAGGGAAGAAUGGUCUAUGGCCUGUAAACCUCUUUUGCCAGGGAAGAAUAAAAGGUACGCGUACCUUCUUGCCAGUACCUGACGAAUAAGCAUCGGCUAACUCCGUGCCAGCAGCCGCGGUAAUACGGGGGAUGCGAGCGUUAUCCGGAUUUAUUGGGUUUAAAGGGCGCGUAGGCGGGACGCCAAGUCAGCGGUAAAAGACUGCAGCUAAACUGUAGCACGCCGUUGAAACUGGCGACCUCGAGACGAGACGAGGGAGGCGGAACAAGUGAAGUAGCGGUGAAAUGCUUAGAUAUCACUUGGAACCCCGAUAGCGAAGGCAGCUUCCCAGGCUCGAUCUGACGCUGAUGCGCGAGAGCGUGGGUAGCGAACAGGAUUAGAUACCCUGGUAGUCCACGCCGUAAACGAUGCUCACUGGAUCUUGGCGAUACACGGCCAGGGUUCAAGCGAAAGUAUUAAGUGAGCCACCUGGGGAGUACGUCGGCAACGAUGAAACUCAAAGGAAUUGACGGGGGCCCGCACAAGCGGAGGAACAUGUGGUUUAAUUCGAUGAUACGCGAGGAACCUUACCCGGGUUUAAAUGUAAGUUGCAUUUCUUGGAAACAGGAAUUUCCUUCGGGACCACUUACAAGGUGCUGCAUGGUUGUCGUCAGCUCGUGCCGUGAGGUGUCGGGUUAAGUCCCAUAACGAGCGCAACCCCUAUCGCCAGUUGCCAACGGUUCGGCCGGGCACUCUGUCGAGACUGCCACCGUAAGGUGCGAGGAAGGCGGGGAUGACGUCAAAUCAGCACGGCCCUUACACCCGGGGCGACACACGUGUUACAAUGGCCGGUACAGAGGGCCGCUACCAGGUGACUGGAUGCCAAUCUCUAAAGCCGGUCGUAGUUCGGACUGGAGUCUGCAACCCGACUCCACGAAGUUGGAUUCGCUAGUAAUCGCGCAUCAGCCAUGGCGCGGUGAAUACGUUCCCGGGCCUUGUACACACCGCCCGUCAGGCCAUGGAAGCCGGGAGUACCUGAAGAUCGUGACCGCGAGGAACGGGCUAGGGUAAUACCGGUAACUGGGGCUAAG
RNAcentral lists this ribosomal RNA (1451 nucleotides) under uncultured organism. RNAcentral describes it as "SSU rRNA". It matches the Rfam family "Bacterial small subunit ribosomal RNA". The record is from RNAcentral.